CCUACGGGAGGCAGCAGUGGGGAAUCUUGGACAAUGGGGGCAACCCUGAUCCAGCCAUGCCGCGUGAGUGAUGAAGGCCUUAGGGUCGUAAAGCUCUUUCGCCUGUGAAGAUAAUGACGGUAGCAGGUAAAGAAACCCCGGCUAACUCCGUGCCAGCAGCCGCGGUAAUACGGAGGGGGUUAGCGUUGUUCGGAAUUACUGGGCGUAAAGCGCACAUAGGCGGAUCGGAAAGUUGGGGGUGAAAUCCCGGGGCUCAACCCCGGAACUGCCUCCAAAACUAUCGGUCUAGAGUUCGAGAGAGGUGAGUGGAAUUCCGAGUGUAGAGGUGAAAUUCGUAGAUAUUCGGUGGAACACCAGUGGCGAAGGCGGCUCACUGGCUCGAUACUGACGCUGAGGUGCGAAAGUGUGGGGAGCAAACAGGAUUAGAUACCCUGGUAGUCCACACCGUAAACGAUGAAUGCCAGUCGUCGGGUAGCAUGCUAUUCGGUGACACACCUAACGGAUUAAGCAUUCCGCCUGGGGAGUACGGUCGCAAGAUUAAAACUCAAAGGAAUUGACGGGG
This 562-nucleotide ribosomal RNA is filed under the name uncultured bacterium. RNAcentral's name for it is "bacterial SSU rRNA". It matches the Rfam family "Bacterial small subunit ribosomal RNA", at positions 338 to 918 of the family's 1533-position model. The record is from RNAcentral.